CCAAAAUAUGCUCAUGAAAUCGAAAUUAAUAGCUAAAUUUUCAAACUAGACCCUUCUCGAAGCGGUUUUCAAGAAGGAAGUUCACAUUUCGGCCUUUGAUUCUUGGCAAAAAUUUGACAACAACGCGUGCGAAGCAACUGGGUCUCAAAGAUUCAGCUAAAACAUUGUGAGCCCCUAUUUUCCUGACGAUCUGUUUGAUACUUACAAA
Molecule: non-coding RNA, 208 nt
Organism: Paramuricea clavata
Lineage: Eukaryota; Metazoa; Cnidaria; Anthozoa; Malacalcyonacea; Plexauridae
Source: the annotation of a GenBank genome assembly